CAAAAACAUGGCUCCUUGUUUAGAGUAAAUAAGGAGUCGGACCUGCCCAGUGAAUUUUUCAACGGCCGCGGUACUCUGACCGUGCAAAGGUAGCAUAAUCAUUUGCCUUAUAAUUGAAGGCUAGUAUGAAUGGUUUGACAAGAAUGUAGCUGUCUCUUUAUGAUUAAAUAGAAUUUUAUCUUCAGGUGAAAAAGCCUGUAUUUAAUUAAAAGACAAGAAGACCCUAUCGAGCUUGAAAAAAGUUAGCAGAGGAACAAGUUAAUAUGGCUAAAAAACUAACUGCUAAAAAUUUUAGUUGGGGUGACUGAGGAACAGAUAAAGCUUCCUUUAAAAUCUAAAACAUACAAGUUUUGAUCCAGAAUAUUCUGAUUAAAGGAACUAGUUACCGUAGGGAUAACAGCAUUAUCUUUUUUGAGAGCUCCUAUCGAAAAAAAGGCUUGUGACCUCGAUGUUGGACCAGAAUAUCCUAAAGAUGCAGCAGUCUUUAAGGGUUGGUCUGUUCGACCAUUAAAAUUCUACCUGA
Molecule: ribosomal RNA, 523 nt
Filed under: Buccinanops cochlidium
Lineage: Eukaryota; Metazoa; Mollusca; Gastropoda; Neogastropoda; Nassariidae
Description: partial 16S ribosomal RNA
Rfam family: Bacterial large subunit ribosomal RNA
Source: RNAcentral